Molecule: ribosomal RNA, 488 nt
Filed under: uncultured bacterium
Lineage: Bacteria
Description: partial 16S ribosomal RNA
Rfam family: Bacterial small subunit ribosomal RNA
Source: RNAcentral
GAUGAACGCUAGCGGCAGGCUUAACACAUGCAAGUCGAGGGGCAGCAUAAUGGAUAGCAAUAUCUAUGGUGGCGACCGGCGCACGGGUGCGUAACGCGUAUGCAACCUACCUUUAACAGGGGGAUAACACUGAGAAAUUGGCACUAAUACCCCAUAAUAUCAUAGAAGGCAUCUUUUAUGGUUGAAAAUUCCGAUGGUUAGAGAUGGGCAUGCGUUGUAUUAGCUAGUUGGUGGGGUAACGGCUCACCAAGGCGACGAUACAUAGGGGGACUGAGAGGUUAACCCCCCACACUGGUACUGAGACACGGACCAGACUCCUACGGGAGGCAGCAGUGAGGAAUAUUGGUCAAUGGACGCAAGUCUGAACCAGCCAUGCCGCGUGCAGGAUGACGGCUCUAUGAGUUGUAAACUGCUUUUGUACGAGGGUAAACGCAGAUACGUGUAUCUGUCUGAAAGUAUCGGACGAAUAAGGAUCGGCUAACUCCGUG